RNAcentral lists this ribosomal RNA (477 nucleotides) under uncultured bacterium. RNAcentral describes it as "partial 16S ribosomal RNA". It matches the Rfam family "Bacterial small subunit ribosomal RNA", at positions 30 to 507 of the family's 1533-position model. The record is from RNAcentral.
AUUGAACGCUGGCGGCAUGCCUUACACAUGCAAGUCGAACGGUAACAGGUUAAGCUGACGAGUGGCGAACGGGUGAGUAAUGUAUCGGAACGUGCCCAGUCGUGGGGGAUAACUGCUCGAAAGAGCAGCUAAUACCGCAUACGACCUGAGGGUGAAAGCGGGGGAUCGCAAGACCUCGCGCGAUUGGAGCGGCCGAUAUCAGAUUAGGUAGUUGGUGAGGUAAAGGCUCACCAAGCCGACGAUCUGUAGCUGGUCUGAGAGGACGACCAGCCACACUGGGACUGAGACACGGCCAAGACUCCUACGGGAGGCAGCAGUGGGGAAUUUUGGACAAUGGGCGCAAGCCUGAUCCAGCCAUGCCGCGUGCGGGAAGAAGGCCUUCGGGUUGUAAACCGCUUUUGUCAGGGAAGAAAAGGUUCUGGCUAAUACCUGGGACUCAUGACGGUACCUGAAGAAUAAGCACCGGCUAACUACGUG